AAUUAGUCAGGCUAACAAGAUUGGAUGAAUUAGACUCGACUUUUUAUUGGUUUGGAUUAUAUUGAAUUCCAAUAAGUGAUUGGAUCAAAUUGGAAUCAAAAUGUAAAAUAAAAUAUAUAAUGAAUUGGACUUGAAUUUGAUAAAAUCCGUUGGAUUUAAACUAAUAAAUAUAUGGGUGUCAAUUUGUGUAGUUAUGUCAUGUCUAAUAUGUGUUAUGUUAAAUUUAAAUAAGUACGGAUAUGACCCAUUUAUUAACCGUGUCGAAACAUCAAAUGUGGAUAUGACUCGUUUAUUAAUCAUGUAUUAAUGCAACAAAAAAUUUAAUUUAAAAAAUAACAACUAUGUCAAUAUUAUUCUUAAAAAUAGGAUAUAAAUAAAUUAACAUGACAUAAAUAUGAUAUGGAUAUGACAGUAAUAAUUAAUUUAAUGUUGUGUGUGCGUGUGUGCGUGUGCACACACAUUUAUAUUAGUUAUUUUUUCAAUAAUAUUAAUACAUACUAAUUAAUAUUUGUGCCAUAAACAUAUAAUUUGAAGUGCUUUAACAUAAAUAUGACAUGAUUAUUUAUUGUAUUUUAUUGUGUUAAUCCAUUUAAUACUCAUAUCAAUAUUUGUUAACAAGCAUAUACAAAAUUGUAUCGACCCAUUUUAUCACCUCUAAUUAACACCCUUACUUCCAAUAAACUUUUAAAACUUCUUUUCUGAUUUUAUCAUAAUAUAAUUUCUAAAAUAUUAUAAAUAUCAAAUAACACCACCAUGAAUGGCAAAAGUAACCUCCAUCAAAAUUAUUCCAAAUGAAACGGAAUUCUUUAUUGUUUUUUCUUAUUUUUCAAUUAUCAAACAUUGCUUAACAUAUUGACAUCACACGACUAUGUAAUGCACCCCAUAAAUAAUAAUGUGCAAUGAUUGGAAUCUCAAAGAUACUAAAGUGGGGAACAAGAAAUGAGCUAUUACUCUCUAAUAAAAUUAUUGAAGAACUAGCGAACUGACUAUCUCCCUAAAAUCAAUAAAAAUUCUAACUUAGUUGUAAGCAUCUUUCGUUAUGGGCUAACGACUUACAUAAAUUACCAGGUGUUGGUUUUUGACUUUGACUUUAUCUCAAACAAGAGAAAUGGGGAAUAGUUUGUGUUUUUACGUGGGUUUAAUUUGAUUUUUUUUGUCCUUCAAUAUAAUUUCGAUAAAGUACAAAAUUGUAAAAUACUCAAAGAGAUUAUAAGAGAUUUUCAAACGGUGCCAAUAAUCCAUCCCAAAAAAAAAAAAAAAUGCAAUUCAAAUUAACGGUCCCAAGUACAUGUAGUCCAAUUUUGCAUAUCAUUUUUUUUUCUUUUAAACGAAAUUUAUUAUUAACAAAGAUUAAUCAGUUGUUGAAGUUAAGGACUUUCUCUGAUUCUUUUUGCGUUGUGAGAGAAUACUCUUUCUCUAUAUUUAAACGUGUGAUGAUGAGUGAAAAAAAAUGUGAUAGCAUUUGUUUUUCAUCUGAAAUGUAAAUAUAAUUGGAUUUGAUUAAAAUUUAGAUAGGAUUACAAGUAAAAAUUGAAAUCAUAUGUUUGUUUUAUUUUUAUGGCAUUUGAAUGGAAUAUCUAAAACAAAUUUAUACAUACUUGAAAUAGUAUUGGUAAGGAAAGGUAAUGGAAGCAAUUUGAAAUGCAUUUUGAUCUUAGUGAUGAAUAAAAAAAAAUAAUUUCAUUUAGUAACGACUUUUUAGUCUUAAAUUUAAAAGAACAUCUAAUACAAUUUAUUAAUCGAAAUUGAACCAUAUUUCGUCUUCAGUCAAAAAACAAACAGGUCCAAGGAUUUACAUUUAAUCUAAGGUGAGAUGGGGUAAGGUGCAUGGUUUAAAAAUAAAAUAAAACAAACAAACAAACAGGAACUAUGUCUCUCAUUUUCUGAUUUCGCUACAUCGCUACAUCUUGGUAAAUAGCUUGACUUAAAAAUGUGACGGGACUCGCAUGGUUUGUUUUUAAAUUUUGAUAUUCCUAUCAAUCAAUCAUAUCUUGCUAUGCACAAGUGCUUGUGACUCUAGUUAUUCAUGGAGAAAAGGAUAUCUAGACGUUCGAGAUUUUGCUCAAUGUAUAUGUAGAUCCAUAAAUCAUCAUGCAGACCCCUACAUUGACUAUUAUACCCUUUGAUUAUACUAACUAAAAGAUUAAUUUUAAGAUUUUACAUAAUAUAAAA
Molecule: long non-coding RNA, 2172 nt
Filed under: Citrus x clementina
Lineage: Eukaryota; Viridiplantae; Streptophyta; Magnoliopsida; Sapindales; Rutaceae
Description: Citrus clementina (C. clementina) long non-coding RNA (CCLE_LNC001946)
Source: RNAcentral